ACCAAGGUCUGUUGAAGAGUACAUAUCUAACAUUAGUCUUUUGUUCAAAGGAAAAGACAAAACAAUUGGGUUUUUUUUAUUUUUUUGUGGUAAUGCGGAAACCUUGUCUCAAAUGCUAGGAUUUGCUGAGAGCAGCUUUAACAAUUGUUGCACUUAACAUUUUGCGGCAAAUAAUUUGCCCACUAGAGUUGUUUGUUGCAAAUGGAACGAUAUAAUGGACUCUGAGGUUAGUUGAAGGACUAUUUCAUCACACUAGAGGUUUUUGGUUUGCUGCAUAAGAAUCUUAACAUUGUCUCUAAUGCUUGCCAUGAUGGUGGUUAGGCGAUAGAGGAAAGUGAUGUUAAG
This 345-nucleotide unclassified non-coding RNA is filed under the name Hevea brasiliensis (rubber tree). Lineage: Eukaryota; Viridiplantae; Streptophyta; Magnoliopsida; Malpighiales; Euphorbiaceae. The record is from RNAcentral.